UGGGGAAUAUUGGACAAUGGGCGCAAGCCUGAUCCAGCCAUGCCGCGUGAGUGAUGAAGGCCUUAGGGUUGUAAAGCUCUUUCACCCACGACGAUAAUGACGGUAGUGGGAGAAGAAGCCCCGGCUAACUUCGUGCCAGCAGCCGCGGUAAUACGAAGGGGGCUAGCGUUGCUCGGAAUCACUGGGCGUAAAGGGCGCGUAGGCGGCCGAUCAAGUCAGGGGUGAAAGCCUGUGGCUCAACCACAGAAUUGCUUGAUACNUGUUCGGCUCGAGACCGGAAGAGGUUGGUGGAACUGCGAGUGUAGAGGUGAAAUUCGUAGAUAUUCGCAAGAACACCAGUGGCGAAGGCGGCCAACUGGNCCGGUUCCGACGCUGAGGCGCGAAAAGCGUGGGGAGCAAAACAGGAUUAGAUACCCUGGUAGUCCACGCCGUAAACGAUGAAUGCAGCCGUUGGGCAGCUUGCUGCUCAGUGGCGCAGCUAACGCUUUAAGCAUUCCGCCUGGGGAGUACGGUCGCAAGAUU
Molecule: ribosomal RNA, 522 nt
Filed under: uncultured bacterium
Lineage: Bacteria
Description: partial 16S ribosomal RNA
Rfam family: Bacterial small subunit ribosomal RNA
Source: RNAcentral